AUGGCGCGAACCCACGGCAAACCCAUUCCGAUUUCGUCCUUCGGGAAGGCCGUCGUACUCUGCUUGGCCCUGUUCGCCGCAUGGCGCCUCUGCUCGACCCUGUUCGCCGACGCGCCUCCUCGUCCUCGUUUCAAUGUCCGCGAUGCGUCGUGCCUGCCUCUCGCCAGGGAGGUCGGCGUCCGGGCGGCCGCCGGCACGGGAAGCAACUUCGUCGUCUCGCCGCUGUCGAUCCACGCGGCGCUCGCCAUGGUGACCGCAGGCGCGCGGGGCGACACGCGUAGGGAGCUCCUGCGAUUCCUCGGUUCAGCGUCGCUCAACGAGCUGCACCGCGCGCCAUCGAACGAGCUCGUCGGCAGGCUCAACGGCAUAGCGCAGACGUCCUUCGCCUGCGGCGUGUGGGUCGACCGGAGGCGGGCGCUCAGGCUAGAGUUCGCGGCCACCGGCGCGUCGCGGUACGGCGCCACGGCGGAAUCCGUGGACUUCGUGUCGGGGGCCGAGCAGGCGAGGCUGCGCGUGAACGCCUUCGUGGCGGACGCGACGAAGCAGCUCAUCCGCGACAUCCUCCCUCCCGGCUCCGUCGACUCGUCCACGGCGGUCGUGCUCGCCAACGCGCUCUACUUCAAAGGAGCGUGGUCUCACCCGUUCGACCUCUUCACGGCGCCGUUCCACGUCCCAGGCGGCACCACCGUGGGCGUGCCGUCCAUGACGACAGGCCGGUCACAGUACAUCGCGCUCUACCCGGGCUUCAGGGCACUCAAGCUGCCCUACAAGAACGACGUACUGCGGCAAGCUGAUGCAUUCUACAUGCUUAUUCUUCUCCCGGACAGCGGCACUCUCAGUCUCGCCGAUAUCUACGACAAGGCGGUGUCGACGCCAGAGUUCAUCAGGAAGCACAAGCCGGUGAAGAAGGUUCCGGUGGGGCGGUUCAUGGUGCCCAAGUUCAAGUUCACCUUCGAGUUCGAGGCGUCGUCGGAUAUGGGAAAGCUUGGUGUCACCAGGGCUUUCAAAGUCGGCGACUUCUCAGGCAUGGUGAGCAGCGGAGAUGGGCAUGGGCAGGUCUCCAUCUCCCGAGUGUACCAUAAGGCCGCCAUCGAGGUGGACGAGCAAGGCACCGUGGCCGUUGCUGCCACGGUCAUACGCAUGGAUGGUAGUGCGUUUGAGAAAAAGGAACCACCGCAUUUGGUAGAUUUUGUGGCGGAUCGGCCCUUCUUGUUUGCCGUGGUUGAGGAGAUGACAGGUUAA
Molecule: ribosomal RNA, 1242 nt
Filed under: Triticum aestivum (bread wheat)
Lineage: Eukaryota; Viridiplantae; Streptophyta; Magnoliopsida; Poales; Poaceae
Description: partial small subunit ribosomal RNA
Source: RNAcentral